ACUCUGGUAUUGAUUGGUGCUUGCAUCAUGAUUUACAUUUGAGUGAGUGGCGAACUGGUGAGUAACACGUGGGAAACCUGCCCAGAAGCGGGGGAUAACACCUGGAAACAGAUGCUAAUACCGCAUAACAACUUGGACCGCAUGGUCCGAGUUUGAAAGAUGGCUUCGGCUAUCACUUUUGGAUGGUCCCGCGGCGUAUUAGCUAGAUGGUGGGGUAACGGCUCACCAUGGCAAUGAUACGUAGCCGACCUGAGAGGGUAAUCGGCCACAUUGGGACUGAGACACGGCCCAAACUCCUACGGGAGGCAGCAGUAGGGAAUCUUCCACAAUGGACGAAAGUCUGAUGGAGCAACGCCGCGUGAGUGAAGAAGGGUUUCGGCUCGUAAAACUCUGUUGUUAAAGAAGAACAUAUCUGAGAGUAACUGUUCAGGUAUUGACGGUAUUUAACCAGAAAGCACGGCUAACUACGUGCCAGCAGCCGCGGUAAUACGUAGGUGGCAAGCGUUGUCCGGAUUUAUUGGGCGUAAAGCGAGCGCAGGCGGUUUUUUAAGUCUGAUGUGAAAGCCUUCGGCUCAACCGAAGAAGUGCAUCGGAAACUGGGAAACUUGAGUGCAGAAGAGGACAGUGGAACUCCAUGUGUAGCGGUGAAAUGCGUAGAUAUAUGGAAGAACACCAGUGGCGAAGGCGGCUGUCUGGUCUGUAACUGACGCUGAGGCUCGAAAGUAUGGGUAGCAAACAGGAUUAGAUACCCUGGUAGUCCAUACCGUAAACGAUGAAUGCUAAGUGUUGGAGGGUUUCCGCCCUUCAGUGCUGCAGCUAACGCAUUAAGCAUUCCGCCUGGGGAGUACGGCCGCAAGGCUGAAACUCAAAGGAAUUGACGGGGGCCCGCACAAGCGGUGGAGCAUGUGGUUUAAUUCGAAGCUACGCGAAGAACCUUACCAGGUCUUGACAUACUAUGCAAAUCUAAGAGAUUAGACGUUCCCUUCGGGGACAUGGAUACAGGUGGUGCAUGGUUGUCGUCAGCUCGUGUCGUGAGAUGUUGGGUUAAGUCCCGCAACGAGCGCAACCCUUAUUAUCAGUUGCCAGCAUUAAGUUGGGCACUCUGGUGAGACUGCCGGUGACAAACCGGAGGAAGGUGGGGAUGACGUCAAAUCAUCAUGCCCCUUAUGACCUGGGCUACACACGUGCUACAAUGGAUGGUACAACGAGUUGCGAACUCGCGAGAGUAAGCUAAUCUCUUAAAGCCAUUCUCAGUUCGGAUUGUAGGCUGCAACUCGCCUACAUGAAGUCGGAAUCGCUAGUAAUCGCGGAUCAGCAUGCCGCGGUGAAUACGUUCCCGGGCCUUGUACACACCGCCCGUCACACCAUGAGAGUUUGUAACACC
This 1384-nucleotide ribosomal RNA is filed under the name Lactiplantibacillus plantarum. RNAcentral describes it as "bacterial SSU rRNA". It matches the Rfam family "Bacterial small subunit ribosomal RNA", at positions 66 to 1421 of the family's 1533-position model. Lineage: Bacteria; Bacillati; Bacillota; Bacilli; Lactobacillales; Lactobacillaceae. The record is from RNAcentral.